Molecule: ribosomal RNA, 541 nt
Filed under: Nebularia acuminata
Lineage: Eukaryota; Metazoa; Mollusca; Gastropoda; Neogastropoda; Mitridae
Description: partial 16S ribosomal RNA
Rfam family: Bacterial large subunit ribosomal RNA
Source: RNAcentral
UUUUAAAAAACAUCGCUCCUUGUAGUAAAGCAAAUAGGGAGUCGGACCUGCCCAGUGAAUUUUCAACGGCCGCGGUACUCUGACCGUGCAAAGGUAGCAUAAUAAUUUGCCUUAUAAUUGAAGGCUAGAAUGAAUGGUUUAACGAGAAUAAAGCUGUCUCUUUAUAAUUUUAUAGAAAUUUAUUUACAGAUGAAAAAGUCUGUAUUUUAUUAAAAGACAAGAAGACCCUAUCGAGCUUAAAAACAUUUAGUAGAACAGGAACUUGUUAUAAGCUUAAGAGAGUGAUCUACUAAGAAUUUUGGUUGGGGCGACUAAGGAACAAACAAAGCUUCCUCAUUACUAUUUUUACCUAUUAGUAUUGAUCCAGGAAUUCCUGAUUAAUAAAAUUAGUUACCGUAGGGAUAACAGCAUUAUCUUUUUUGAGAGUUCCCAUCGAAAAAAAGGUUUGUGACCUCGAUGUUGGACCAGAAUGUCCUAAAGAUGCAGCAGUCUUUAAGGGUUGGUCUGUUCGACCAUUAAUAUUCUACGUGAUCUGGUCCCA